This 720-nucleotide ribosomal RNA is filed under the name Brevibacillus laterosporus. RNAcentral's name for it is "bacterial SSU rRNA". It matches the Rfam family "Bacterial small subunit ribosomal RNA", at positions 124 to 817 of the family's 1533-position model. The record is from RNAcentral. Lineage: Bacteria; Bacillati; Bacillota; Bacilli; Caryophanales; Paenibacillaceae.
ACCAGCCUGUAAUACUGGGAUAACAUAAGGAAACUUAUGCUAAUACCGGAGAGAGUUUUGCUUCGCACGAUGCGAACCGGAAGGAUCGCACAUGCUAUCAGUUGCAGAUAGGCCUGCGGCGCAGUACCUAGUUGGUGAGGUAAAGGCUCACCAAGGCGACUAUCCGUAGCCAACCUGAGAGGGUGACCGGCCACACUGGGACUGAAACACGGCCCAGACUCCUACGGGAGGCAGCAACGGGGAAUUUUCCACAAUGGACCAACGUCUGAUGGAGCAACGCCGCGGGAACAAUGAAGGCUUUCGGGUCGUAGAUUUCUGUUGUUAGGGAAGAAACAUUGCGAUUUAAAUAAUGUGGCACCUUGACGGUACCUAACGAGAAAGCCACGGCAAACUACCUGCCAGCACCCGCGGUAAUACGUAGGUGGCAUACGUUGUCCGGAAUUAUUGGGCGUAAAGCGCGCGCAUGUAGCUAUCUAAGUCUGAUUUUAAAGCCCGAGGGCUCAACCUCGGUGCUCAUUGGAAACUGGGUAUUCUUGAGUGCAGGACUUGAAAGUGGUAUUACCAAGUGUAGCGGUCAUGUGCGUACGAGAUAUGGGAGGAACACCUGUGGCGGAACGCCACUUUCUGGACCGGUAACUUGACACUGAGGCGCUGACGCUGUGGGGAGCAAACCGGGAUGUAGAUACACCUGGAUAGUCCACCCCGUAAACCAUACAGCGC